Molecule: long non-coding RNA, 608 nt
Filed under: Pelobates cultripes (western spadefoot toad)
Lineage: Eukaryota; Metazoa; Chordata; Amphibia; Anura; Pelobatidae
Source: RNAcentral
UAUUCAUCAUCUUAAAAUAUAAUCAAAGAAGAAUAUUUACUCUAAGAAAUAAGAAGAAACUAUGUUUUAUUGCUACAAUUUAUUAAUGGAUGUCUGGACUGUUUUUUGGAUUGCAAAAGGAAAGGUUAUUUUGAAAGUGUGUCUUGUCAGAUGUUGCCAGGGGGGGAAAGGUGAAAUGUGUGCUUAAGUUGUGAAAGAGGAAGUCUUAUAUGUGUUAACUUUUAUCAUAGACAAGCGAUAUUUUAGCGAAGUAAGACGCAUGACUGUGGUCAAGUCAUCUGUUAGAAAGAUCAUGGGAUGCUUAAACUAUUGAACCUUAAAUUUGUCAGUUAUGCUAGAAUUUAGCCAAUAGGAAAUAAGACCAUAUUUGGAGUUCUGAUUCAAGCUAAACGAAAGGCCGGUUCCGGGUCAUAUGUAUAAAAUAUGAGGAAUUGUAACAUGAUGUUAGAUUGCUUCUUGCCAAUCUCCAUGAGAUAUCUCUGUGUAUUGUAAUGGUCAAUUAAACGCUUUUUAUUGAACCUGGUAAUAUUUUUGUCUACUUCCACAGUUGGGGGCUCUUUGUCCGGGAUCAGAAUACCACAGACACCAGCGGAACACCUGCACCUGCC